UCCGGUUUGUCACCGAGUUCAAUAAAGCACUCUCGCCUUUCGGCAAAAUUCUCGGGAUGUCAAGCCCUGGUAAGGUUCUUCGUUUACCAUCGAAUUAAAGAACACGCUCCACCGCUUGUGCGGGUCCCCGUCAAUUCCUUUAUGUUUUAGCCUUGCGGCCGUACUCCACAGGCGGGAUGCUUAACGCGUUAGCUUCGCUACGGAGGGGGUCGAUACCCCCCACAGCUAGCAUCCAUCGUUUACGGCGUGGACUAC
RNAcentral lists this unclassified non-coding RNA (255 nucleotides) under uncultured bacterium. RNAcentral's name for it is "contains 16S-23S intergenic spacer region". The record is from RNAcentral.